AGCACUGAGGCCCUCCUCCUGGCUCUGAUUGGUUGUUUCUGAACGGAAGCGGUGCAUUUCUUCAGAUGACAAUAGUAGCUCUGGGAGGAGCUGAAGGCGUUCAAACCUUUCACAGAUUCUGUCUCAUAU
Long non-coding RNA from Xiphophorus couchianus (Monterrey platyfish), 129 nucleotides. RefSeq lists it as uncharacterized. The transcript is spliced from 3 exons. NCBI's taxonomy places the organism in Eukaryota, Metazoa, Chordata, Actinopteri, Cyprinodontiformes, Poeciliidae. The record is from RefSeq and is a predicted model, not a curated record.